GGACGAACGCUGGCGGCGUGCCUAACACAUGCAAGUCGAGCGAAUGAAGUUCCUUCGGGAAUGGAUUUAGCGGCGGACGGGUGAGUAACACGUGGGCAACCUGCCUCAUAGAGGGGAAUAGCCUUCCGAAAGGGAGAUUAAUACCGCAUAAGAUUGUAGUAYCGCAUGAUACAGCAAUUAAAGGAGCAAUCCGCUAUGAGAUGGGCCCGCGGCGCAUUAGCUAGUUGGUGAGGUAAYGGCUCACCAAGGCGACGAUGCGUAGCCGACCUGAGAGGGUGAUCGGCCACAUUGGGACUGAGACACGGCCCAGACUCCUACGGGAGGCAGCAGUGGGGAAUAUUGCACAAUGGGGGAAACCCUGAUGCAGCAACGCCGCGUGAGUGAUGACGGCCUUCGGGUUGUAAAGCUCUGUCUUCAGGGACGAUAAUGACGGUACCUGAGGAGGAAGCCACGGCUAACUACGU
RNAcentral lists this ribosomal RNA (464 nucleotides) under Clostridiaceae bacterium 'ARUP UnID 217'. RNAcentral describes it as "bacterial SSU rRNA". It matches the Rfam family "Bacterial small subunit ribosomal RNA", at positions 27 to 506 of the family's 1533-position model. Lineage: Bacteria; Bacillati; Bacillota; Clostridia; Eubacteriales; Clostridiaceae. The record is from RNAcentral.